CUCUACCAUAUUCAUCCCUAUCACGAUCUCCGCUUCUCUAGCGACUCUCUCCCUCUGUAUAUCUCAACUUUUCUUUUCGUUCCCGUUGAUCCAUAGCUCUCUUCUCUAUGCGCAUCACUACUAAGCACCAUGACCCGCAUUGAAGUUCUGCCACUGUUAGCGGUCUGGCCCAAGUGAGCGUUUUGUCUUUUCGUUCCCGUAGCCCAAACCGUGCUUGGUGCCAGGCACGCCUCAGCGUUUGAUGUGAGGGUUCAGUACCCCCAUUCGGUAGGGAAGCCACGCAGCCCCCUUAUCACUGCCAAUGCUUAAUCGCUUCUCGAGGCGCCAAAGUCCAUUGCUCAAGACCUGGCAGCUCAGAGCGAUGCAUGGCUGCUGAUGUCGGCGGUGGGGUGGUGGACGGCGUUGCGUUGGAGCGGCCUGAGACAGCGAACACGCGUGUGCCAUCCACAUCAUGGGCACAGUGCCAAUGCCACUCCAAUGCAUCUUCACCCCGCCCUGGCACUGCCUGCAGGUGUGGGGCGCCUGAGCCACCUCGAGGGGGAUGCAUCAGGUGGCUGCCGGCACCAUGGGAGCGGCUGUGAGGCGACCUGACCUGCGAGGCAGGGGGGCGGGUAGAGUGUGAGGCAGAGGCUGUGCUGCGGUGCCCACGUGGGCAUUGCGGUAGCACUUGUCUGCUGCUGCAUGGCACCACGCGAUGGGGACGCUGUGACGGGCCGGGGGUAGGGUGGAGCGCUGAGCGAAGCCGAACUGACGCUACAUGUCACAAUGCACAUUGAGAAAAACACGAAUCAGCCCUUGCCGCUUAUUAAUUCUGUAUGUUUCGGUGCUCAAGCCAUGAAGUAGUUCUACUGUGACUCUUUUUUUUUCGCAGAAGACCUGCGUUCUUUACGGUCAAUGCCAGCCUGCCUUGCUUUUUCAUACAAGGCAUGCAACCCAGUCGAUCCCUGCACUUUUUUUUUACCGGACUGCGUGAGUUGCCAAGCGAGAUUGUCUGCUUUUAGUAUGCGUCACUGUUUUUAUCGUUGCACAUAGGUUUAUACCUCCCUGAAUUUUCUUUCCGUGAAGCGCAUACCUCCGAUUCGCGAACGAGAACCUAAAAACGGAAAACAGCAAUGCACUGAUGCAAUCGUGGCUGUAUUUGUCGCACUUUGAAGCGAAUCAGG
Molecule: unclassified non-coding RNA, 1163 nt
Filed under: Leishmania donovani
Lineage: Eukaryota; Euglenozoa; Kinetoplastea; Trypanosomatida; Trypanosomatidae
Description: gene:unknown
Source: RNAcentral